CUUUACAGAGGGGAUGGAAGGGGGUUGCUGUGUCAGGACUCACCAGGAGGGAUUUUUGAGUCAGCUUUGGAGCUGAGGAUAUCCAGGAAAUGUUGUCUUGAGGCCACACAAAAGCAAAGUGUCACUUUUGGUCCCAGUGCUGAGCUGAGCAGAGGAGGGCAGUCCCCGUGUGUUUUGUCAUGUGGCUAUUGUGCAUUGUGUUGUGUGGCUGUCUCAUGUCUUUUACCUUAGCCCUUUGAGGGGCCUAUCAGAAACCCUGGCAUCAUUCUUAGCAUCUGUGAUCUCUGCAUUUCUUGGCCUGGCACCAAUGCCACAGGACUUUUGACUCAGGAGCUCGGGCAGGCAUCAGAAUUGCACCUCUCUUUAGAAGCAUCCAGUCAGAUGUCUUUGCAGGUCUUGUUCUGAGCUGUACGUACUCGCCAUCAGUUUCAUCUAGGUCGUUUAAUCUUGCGUUCUCUCAGUCCUUGCAGUCAUUCCUCUUGCCAAGAGAUUCCUGUCCCUGUUGUGUCCCCCUUGUUUGUCAUGUCCUGUCCUGUGUCACGGGUGUCUGCACAUAUUUGUGCCGGAGCUGCUCUGCCCUGCUGCAUAGCUUGGUGUAAUAGGACAAGUCCUGGGGGCUUGAAAUUUGUAAUGUGGGGUGUAGCUGGAUUCUAGAUAGGAUUUGUAGAUGGACACAAGAUGCCUGAAUCUGUGAAGUUAUCCUGCAGCCCUUUGACUUUUGUCCGAACUUUGUUCCAGAUGCAGGCGGAUAAAAUCCAUGGCAGAGCACCCCAUCCCGGCUGAGGGGGUUCCUCUGAGCAGGAAGUAAAGCCAGAUAUCAGCAGUCAAGGCAAUCCAUUUGGAGUAUGCCAAGCCCUCCUCUCCAACCGGCUGAUGGACGGGAUUGCUGCUUUUGUGAACCCUGUGGAAGUAUUGCAGGACUCUGUGAUGAAGCCCUGAACCUUUCUGUUUAAAGGUGCCAUCGAGCUGGCCUUCGGCAGCCGACGAGGAGUUGCGGCACACGCUGCCACGAUGGCAUCGGCCUCCAAGCGUUGCUGAAGCUAAUGGCAUUAGGAGAUGCUUUGAGGCAGCAGCCCAGUGACAGCAGGAACUUCCCAGAUGGCGAGGUGGCCUUCUUUUGCACCUGAUGCAGAUUGGCAUCCCCUGAUGUCUGCGAGAUAAGUCGAGGGCUAUGAACCACAGAGGGGAGGAAAGGGGGUUGCUGGGUUGGGAUUUGCUGGGAGAGGUUUUUGAGUCAGCUUUGGGGCUGAGGCUAUCCAAGAAAUGUCCCCUUAGGCCACAUAAAGAGAAAGUGUCACUUUUGAUCCGAGUGCUGAGGUGUGCAGGGCAGUGCAGUCCCGGUGUGUAUUGUGUCACUUGUCUAAUAUGCCUUAUGUGUUGUUUAUAUAUCUCAUGUCACACAUCUUGUACAUUAGCCCAUUGAGUGGCCUGACAGAAACCCUGGCGUCAUUCUUAGCAUCUCUGACCCCUGCAUUCCUUGGUCUGGCGCCAAUGCCAUAGGUCUUUUGACUCGGGAGCUCAGGCAUUGGAAUUUUAUUGUUCUUUAGGAACAUCCGGUCUGAUGUCUUUGCAGGUCUUGUUCUGAACAGUACAUACUGCUGUGCAUUGCAAGGAUCCAUUAUGGCAGAUUAGGAAUUGUAGGAAUGUAAGGAUAGGUAGAGGAUUCUGACCGUAGGAUUCUCAGACAUCCAUCUUUGUAGUUCUUGGUGUAGACCAUUGUCUUAGCAGAUUCUUCCUCCAGGGUUCUCUGAGCCUCUACAGCUCGCCAUCGGUCUCACCCCAGUCAUCUAAUUUGCGUUCUCUCUGUCCUUGCAGUAAUUCCUCUUGCCCUGAGAUUUGUCCCUGUUGUGUCCCCAUUGUUUGUCACGUCCUGUCCUGUGUCACGGGUGUCUGCACUAUUUGUGCCGGAGCUGCUCUGCCCUGCUGCGUAGCCUGGUGUAAUAGGACAAAUCCUGGGGGCUUGAAAUUUGUAGUAUGGGGUGUAGUUGGACUCUGGAUGGUAUUCCUAGGUUGACCCAAGGUGUCUGGAGCUGUGAAGUUGUCUUGCAGCCCUUUGACUUUUGUCCUAACUUUCUUUCAGAUGCAGACGGAUAAAAUCCAUGGCACAGCACCCCAUCCCCGGAAGUAUAGCCGUAUAGCAGCAGUCAAGGAGAAGUGGGUAAGGUAAUUCACUGUGAUUAUCCCAAGUCCCUGUCACCAACAGCUGAUGGACCAGGUUUGCUGCUCUUGUGAGCCCUGUGGAGGCGUACCCUGCAAUGAUGGAAUCGGUCUCAAAGCACGGCUGAAGCGUGCGGCCCAAGGACCCGAUCAUUCUUAGGAGGCG
Long non-coding RNA from Passer domesticus (house sparrow), 2323 nucleotides. RefSeq lists it as uncharacterized. Lineage: Eukaryota; Metazoa; Chordata; Aves; Passeriformes; Passeridae. The transcript has 8 exons. The record is from RefSeq and is a predicted model, not a curated record.